RNAcentral lists this ribosomal RNA (459 nucleotides) under uncultured bacterium. RNAcentral's name for it is "partial 16S ribosomal RNA". It matches the Rfam family "Bacterial small subunit ribosomal RNA", at positions 338 to 795 of the family's 1533-position model. The record is from RNAcentral.
CCUACGGGUGGCAGCAGUGAGGAAUAUUGGUCACUGGGCGCGAGCCUGAACCAGCCAAGUCGCGUGAGGGAAGCCGGUCCUAUGGAUUGUACACCUCUUUUGUCGGGGAGCAAAAGACGCCACGCGUGGCGUUCCGAGAGUACCCGAAGAAAAAGCAUCGGCUAACUACGUGCCAGCAGCCGCGGUAAUACGGGGGAUGCGAGCGUUAUCCGGAUUUAGUGGGUUUAAGGGGUGCGCAGGCGGAAGAUCAAGUCAGCGGUAAAAUUGAGAGGCUCAACCUCUUCGAGCCGUUGAAACUGGUUUUCUGGAGUGAGUGAGAAGUAUGCGGAAGGCGUGGUGUAGCGGUGAAAUGCAUAGAUAUCACGCAGAACUCCGAUUGCGAAGGCAGCAUACCGGCGCUCAACUGACGCUCAUGCACGAAAGUGUGGGUAUCGAACAGGAUUAGAUACCCGAGUAGUC